UGCGCGUGCCCCACGCAGGUCUCUGGAUCGUAGGUGAUGAUGGCCGUGGAUGAGCAGCAUCGCUGAGUUCGCUCCUCUGAGCUUUCUAUGUUAAUAUAAUUAUAAAAACUGUCGAAUAAUACAAUUAGUCUCCUUGGUCUCCUAACCAGAGACUAUGGGAAACGAAGGAAGCAUCGAGGGAAGCGGACAACCCGGAGAACCGGGCUCCAUCUCUAUGGUUGGAGCUCCCGGUUCGUUUUCAGAACCGGGCUCUGGACAGCACAUCAAGCCCGCCAAUGGUGCUGUUGCCGGGGGAGGAAUGGGUGGCGGACCGGGGAUGAAUAGGGUUCCUAUGGGGAGUCCUAAACCUGGGAUGCAGCUUGGCUAUGGAGGGAUGGCUGGAGGAAUGGGUGGAGGAGGAGGUCAGAGACUGGCCAACCAAGAGAGCCACAGGCCGAUGCAGCAAUCUAGCUCAGGCCCUGACCAUGGCUCUGGCCCAGGGAUGGGUGCUGGGAUAGGUGGCUGUCAGGGUCAGCAUGGCCAGAGCCCCGGUCAGCACGCCUCCAGACGGAACCUCCAGGUGGACUUCAGCAGCUCGGGAGGCCGGACGGGCCGCUCCUCCUCAGCGUCUCCGGACCGGGGGAUCACCCCCACCUCGCCCUACUCGGUGCCUCAGAUCGCCCCCAUGCCCGUCAGCAAGCUGUGCCCCCUCUGCUCCACCACAGAGCUGACCCACCCGCCGGCCCUGCCAAACUACAACACCUGCACACAGUGCCGCUCCACCGUCUGCAACCAGUGUGGCUUCAACCCCAACCCCCAUCUCACAGAAGUCCAGGAGUGGCUCUGUCUCAACUGCCAGAUGCAGAGGGCCUUGGGCAUUGACAUGACCACCCCACGCUCCAAGAGCCAGCAGCAGAUCCACUCUCCAUCCCACCAAACCAAACUCAUAGUCCAGCCACCACCUGUUCAGCCAGCUCAGCCAGCAGCCCAGACAAAACCCCAGCCUCAGCCCCAGGCCCAGCCCCCACCACAGUCAAAACCCCACUCACAGCCCCAGCACCAACUCUACGGUCAAUCCCAGCCCUAUGGUCAAUCCCAGCCCCAGGCCCAGCCCUAUGGUCAAUCCCAGCCCUAUGGUCAAUCCCAAUCCCAGGCCCAGCUUUAUGGUCAGUUCCAAUCCCAGCCCCAGCCCUAUGGUCAAUCCCAAUCCCAGGCCCAGCCCUAUGGUCAAUCCCAAUCCCAGGCCCAGCCCUAUGGUCAAUCCCAAUCCCAGCCCCAGCCCUAUGGUCAAUCCCAGCCUCAGCAACAGCCCUACAACCAAACUCAGCCUCAGCCACAUGGUCAAUCCCAUCCACAGGCCCAGCCACAUGGUCAAUCCCAGACCUAUGGCCAUUCCCAGCCCCAGAAACAGCCCUAUGAUCAAUCCCAGCCCCAACAACAGCCCGACAGCCAAACUCAGCCUCAGCCAUAUGGUCAAUCUCAGCCCUAUGGUCAAUCCCAGCCCCAGCAACAGCUCUACGGCCAAAGCCAACCUCAGCCCCGGCCAUAUGGUCAAUCCCAGCCCUAUGGUCAAUCCCAGCCCCAGCACCAGCCUCAGGCCAAAUCCCAAGCUCAGCAUCAGCCACAGACCUCUCCUGGCCUACAGAGACACCCUAUACCCGGCUCUGCCUCCCUACCCGGGUCAACGACAAGCUCCCCCCAGCACAUCCCAUAUGGCCAGAGAGGGCCUGGAGGUCCCGGCCAGCCCCGGAUCCCCCAUCCUGGGGCAGUCCCCCUGGUGGGCAUGGCCAAGGCUCCCUCCCAGCCAGACCUGGGCCGAGGCUCCCCGCUGCACCAGGGCGGCCGUCAGGCUGCCAGCGCCGGCUCAUCGCCUUCCCAUCGGCCCGCUGCUCCCCAGGGGCAACCGCCCCAGGACGGCCUGACCAAACUGUUUGGCUUUGGGGCAUCGCUCCUCAACCAGGCAGCCAGCACCCUGGCCUCUGUGGACCCCCUCUCAGGGACACCAUCCACCCAGCCCUCCCCUGCCAGGGGUGGGCCUUCCAACAAACAACAAGGACCUCCUGAUGCCAAACCAUUCCAGACGGGUGGCCCCCAUGCACCACAGAUGGGUGGCCCUCAUGCACCCCCGAUGGGUGGCCCGCAAGUACCCCAGAUGGGUGGCCCACAAGCACCCCAAAUGGGUGGUCCACAAGCACUUCAAAUGGGUGGCCCUCAUGUACCGCAAAUGGGUGGACCCCAGACACCAACUCAGAUUGGUGGCCCGUAUGCACCACAAAUGGGUGGCCCACAUACAUCAACUCAGAAAGCACCCCAACAGCAGCAAUCACCUGUGCAUCAUCAGAAGGGACCACAGCAACAACAGCAACAGCAGCAGCAGCCGGCCAGACAGGAGCCUGUUCCCAAGCCGGUGGAGCCUGAGAAGCACAAAGUCAAAUGCCCCCUGUGUAAGACAGAGCUCAACAUUGGCAGCACCACUGAGCCGCCUAGCUACAACUCCUGUACCCAGUGCCACACUCAGGUCUGCAACCUAUGUGGAUUCAACCCGGCGCCUCACCUGGAGAAGAAAGAAUGGCUCUGUCUGAACUGCCAGACCCAGCGACUGAUAUCUGGAGGGCUCCGGGAUCCCUCUCCUGUAUCUCAUCCGUCUCCAAAGCACCAACCAAUGGGUUCUCCACACCACCAGGCACUGGCCAGUCAGCAGCCGGUUCAGCAGCCACCCUUCCAAAAAUUGACCAAUCAGCAGCAGGAAGGGUCGAGACAGAUGCAGCCGCAGCAGCAGAAGCCCCAGACAGCCCUGGGGAGCGGACCUUUCGAACCAACUGCAGCAAAGCAACCUGGAGACACAAAGGCCCCUGUCCAGGCCACACCUACACCUGCAAUCGAGCCCCUGAAACAACCAAAGGCCACGGAAGAGACUACGCCAAAACCAGAGAAGUUGGUGGAACCCGCCAUAGACACCAAACCGACUCAGAAGAAGGGAGAGCCAAUCACACCAAUAAAAGAGAUAAAGAAGUCGAGAUAUGAUGAGACCAAGAACAGCACUCAGGACCUGUCGCGGAGCCCCCAGAGCCUGAGCGACACGGGCUACUCCUCCGACGGCAUCUCCAGCUCCCACAGCGAGAUCAUCGGCCUCAUCCAGGAGGAGGAGAUGAAGCUGAGUGAGAGGGGCAUCAGCGGGCGUGGCAGCCCCCCCAGCCCCUCCGAGAUCACCAAGCUGGAGAGCUCCAUGAGGCCCCUGCUGGAGUGCAAGACCCUGCCAGUUGAGGAGAGGGAGCGCGAAAGGGGCCGGAGCCGGCACCACCGAGAGCAGAGACCCCGGUCGCUGUCGAUCACUCCGGAGGCCUAUGACUCUGAUGAGGAGCUGGAGGACAUUGUGGAAGAGGAGGAGGAGGACGGAGGAGACUGGGAGUCCAAACAGGAGCACAAGAGCAGUGCCGCUCCCAAAGAGGAGAAGAAAGUGGCCGAGCCGGAGCCGAUGACAGAUGAGGAGUUCAUGAGGAGGCAGAUCAUGGAGAUGAGCGCUGACGAGGACAACGAGGAAGAGGAGGAGGAUAUGGAGGAAGAGGACGAGGAGGACGAAGGCUACGGCUACCAAAAACCGAAAAAAACACACAAGCACAUCUCAGAGUUGACGAAAGAGAAGCGCCGCCUCUCUCACCAGUCCAGCAGCUUUGAGGAGGACACCAAAAGCUCCAGCGACAUCUACAAAUGUUCUGCGGAGGAAGGAGAGGAGGGGGGUAUGGGGGGCCUGCGCCGCUUCAAGACAAUCGAGCUCAACAACACCAACAGCUACAGCCGCGACAUGGAGCUCAACAACGAGAACGACCUCAGCCUGGACCGAGAGCCCGAGUUGGAGAUGGAGAGCCUGACGGGGUCUCCCGAGGAGCGCUCCAGGGGUGAGUACUCCUCCACCCUGCCACCCACCACCUCCAGCUACAACUCUGGCACCUCCCCCACCUCCAUCUCCUCCAUGGAGGAAGACAGCGACAGCAGUCCCAGUCGCAGGCAGAGACUGGAGGACGCCAAGCAGCAGAGGAAGGCCCGCCACCGCUCCCACGGCCCCCUGUUGCCCACCAUUGAGGACUCCUCGGAGGAGGACGAGCUGAGAGAGGAGGAGGAGCUGCUGCGGGAGCAGGAGAAGAUGAGGGAUCUGGAGCAACAGAGGAUCCGCAGCACGGCUAGGAAGACCAAAAGAGAUAAGGAGGAGCUGAGGGCCCAGAGACGCAGGGAGAGAUCCAAGACGCCCCCCAGCAACCUCUCCCCCAUCGAGGAUGCCUCCCCUACUGAGGAGCUGCGACAAGCUGCGGAGAUGGAGGAGCUCCACCGAUCCUCUGCCUCAGAAUACUCCCCCCAGAGCCUUGACUCAGAGGCUGAGGGAUACGAGUCUAAACUCUACAAGUCUGGCAGCGAGUAUAACUUGCCCACAUUCAUGUCUCUGUACUCUCCUACUGAGAAGUCGUCGACGACCUCAACCACCACCGUGCCCUCCAGCAGCAAGCCCCUGAAGAGUGCUGAGGAGGUGUAUGAGGAAAUGAUGAGGAAAGCCGAGUUGCUGCAGAAACAACAGAAACAGCAACAGCAGCAGCAACAAGGGAGACACAACAGUGCAUAUGAGGACGACACGAAUGGCCAACAGUAUGAAGAUGAGUAUGAGUAUGAGCAGGCUGAGACUAGUUAUGAAAACGAGGCGGCAGAGACAGGAGACAUCUACGAAGAGAUCCGCCAGACCUCCCAAAACAUCACUAAGAUGCAUCAAACCUCAGCCCUGGAGUUACAGCAGCAGGCAGACGAGCAGGUGGAAAUAGACGACAGCACCUAUCCAGAUAAGCAGCUUUUAGAUACAGGGUCAGCCUUCGCUAAGCUGCUUGAGCAGACCAAUGACUUAUUGACUCCUGGCAACAGCCCCACUCAGCUCUCUGCACCUGUGACUUUUUCUGAGACCGGAGGAAGGAUCCCUGAUGUACGGGUGACACAACACUACUCCAAAGAUGUCCAUAAAGCCGGGAUGAAGAGCCAGACUGGUAAAAAUGGCAUUACUCCAGUGGCUGCCGCCACCACAAUAGCAGCCUACGGGGUUUAUUCCCGGGAUGCAGUGACCAUCUCUCACACAAGCGCUAGUCAAACGAUGACGACCAGCCAAUCCAUCAUGUAUGGUCGACAAACUGGAGGACCUGCCACUUCAACCACAACCAUCUCAAAUGUGUGCAGCAAGAUAGCGGAGAUAACACAGGCUUACAGCCAAAGAGAGGUGGUUGCGAGAAGGGUGGGCGAGAGCCGAGGGGUCCAAGCUAGAGAGAGUGCGACAUCUUCAGAGCAUGUCAUAGAGCCCCGCUCGACAAAGAUGUACUCGUACUACAAGAGCUCCAGCUCCCCUCUGUCUCCCUCUGCCUCGCCCACUGAGAGCCCAAGUCGCUCACCCUCCAGGAGUGCCGAGAUAUCCACUCAGACAUUCAGCCCAGGCAUAGGGGCUCUGUCGGCUGGCUCGGGGCCCACCUCCCCAGUGAUGGCCCAGGGGACACAGACAUCUCAAAGGGCCGUAUCCCCACGUCUCUUCAGACAGCAAUCCUCCCAGCAUGCCCCCUACAUGGUCGCAGAGCCCACAAGCCCUGCCAAACCAAUGACGGUCAACACCGCCACGUCACCUUUAUCCUCGCCCACCAGAUUCAUCCGACAGUCGACAUUUGACAGCUACUCUCCACAGGCCAGUCCGCCAGACACCCCUCCAUACCACCAGUCUCCCCAGCACAGCUUCUAUAGGAUGCAGAAGGUGGAGAAGGUCAGUGUUGGAACCAGCAUGGUCACCACAGCUAGCACCUACAGCCGUGGUUCCAUGUCAAUGGACAACAUCUCUCUCUGCAGGAUCUCAAGCAUCCCGGGGACCUCGAGUGUCGAGCCGGGCCAGAUGAUCCAUGGUGGGAGUGUGGUGGAUCUGAGAACAGUAGAUCUGAGAACAGCCACUAACGCAGCUCACAUUAUCAUGACUGCCCAUGGCAUGGAUCUUACCUCCCUGGCUAGAGAAACACGCAAAUACACCAGCAGGCCCGAGGGGAGCCACCCCUCCAGUAUCAUCCAGCCCCUCAUCAUGAACCUGAACACCCAGCAGCAGCCCCACGUAAUGGUAUCCACUGCAACCACGAUGAGCGUCACGGUGGCCACCUCCAUGUUCAUAUCACAGCCCCAACAGCCCAUGGUCUAUGGGGACCCUCUACAAAACAGAGUUGACCUCGGUCAGGGCAUGGGCUCAGCCAUGUGCCUGUCACAGAACAAACCACUUCCCACUGACCCAUCCAUCCCCAAGAUCGACGCCAAGCUGGAGGACCUGAGCAUCCAGCAGCAGCAGCUUCUCCAGCAGCAGCAAAAGCUUCAACAGCAACAGCAGCUCUUGGAGCAACAGCUCCAGCAACACCACCAGAUGCAGCAGCAGUCCUCCGUAGCUCGGUUCAACCUACCAGGCCAGAUGACGCUGCUCAAGAAAGACCUUCUGGUCAGCCAAACCAGCAAUACCCCAGCCGUGGUCAGUACUAUAUCCCCUGCCGUUGCCCCUGAUAUCUACGGCACUGUAGGUCCCCUGGAGCUGAAGAGCAAACCAACCCCGGCAGGUGUGAUGCACCUGGCUGGGGGUGGGCCUCAUGGCAUGAUGGUCCAAAUGGAUGGGGCCCCACAGGGAGGACCAGUGACCCAGCUGGUGAAGACAGAGGAGGGCAAGGAUGCCGUGGACCUCACAGGGGGACAGAUCAAAGCUGAGAACCAACCAGCUUGCUGUGAUGUUGUGUACCAACUCCCAUUUGGAGGUAGCUGCGUUGGCGGACCAUUCUCCCAAAAGCCAAAUGUUGAUGAGAAAGUGGCCACUCAAGAGCCAAGACCACACUCUGUGCCACCACUCUCUUAUGAGUCGGACCAGGAGGGCCAGUAUCAGGAGUUUUCUAUGGAUGGGCGUAAAGCCUACACAUUACCGUUCCCUGGCCGGCUACAGCCCUCGAUGUCUGACACCAACCUAGCAGAGGCCGGACUCCAGUCCUACCACUCCAAGAUGGACCCACACUUCCAGACCUCUGGAGAGCUGGCUGUGGAUCUCAGCACCAUGAAACACACCUAUGAGGGAGGCUUCCUCGGACUGGGCAUGCAGUAUGGCUCCUACACUGACCUACGCCAUGGAGGGGACAUCACUGCAACUGCCCUGCCCAUACGCAGAUUCAACUCCCUGUCAAACAUCAGCUCUGACUAUGGCUACUCCCCCCGAGACCUCGCUAACUUCCAGGAGUCCAACCUGGCCCAGUACAGUGCCACCACUGCCAGAGAGAUCAGUCGAAUGUGCGCUGCCCUCAACUCAAUGGACCGCUAUGGGAGCAACCCAGAGCUUGUGCAAUAUGGUGUAGGCAGAGGAACAGGUCCAGGUGGCAGGCUUAACUCUAUGAGACAAAAUAUGCUCUAUGGACCUGACGGGAAGCCAAUCUCUCACACCCAAGCGCUCACCAACAUGAUCAAUGCCAGGCAAGCCAGCCUCCGAGCCAUGUACCCGUCUGCCAUGAGGUCUGCAGAUGGGAUGACCUAUUCUACCAUCAACACACCCAUCGCCUCCACCUUGCCAAUCACUACCCAGCCUGCCUCAGUGUUGCGCCCGCUAUUAAGUGGAGUGUACAGGCCUUUACCCACAGCCAAUAUGACACCUGUGCCUCUGGCCAGCCUUACCAGGAUGCCUGUGAACCCACGGAUGCCUAUGUCUGGAAAGGCCCCAUACCGUUAUCCGACUCCCAACGUCUUCCCAUCUACGACGUCGGCCCCUGUGAGCAUGCCUGCCGCCGUCACCACCACUCAGGAUGCCCCAAUCUACCUAGGGAAGCCCUCUGUGACAUCAAGUGGAUCUGAUCCCCUGUAUCAAUCUCCUGUUGCCCAUACAUCAGCCUCAGUGAGCUUGCCAACGGAGUCCGAGCAGCAGCCCAUAAACCUGACUCAGGCUCACCUCCACACUCAGGCCCCAGGGCAGCCCCAGGUCCAGCCUCAGAACCAGCCCCCAGCUCAGGCCCAGCACAUGCAACCUCAAUUCCACCCUCAGGGCCAGCAUCCACCCCAGAGCCAGCCACCUCCAGCCCAUGCUUACCCCCCAACACAAAGCUACACUGGGCCCCAGAGCAGCACCCAGCCCCAUCACCCAACCCCACCCUCCAGCGGCCCUGUCAACCCGGAGACCGAGACUGAGGAGGAGAGGCUGCACCGCCAGCAGGAGCAGCUUCUGCAAAUGGAGCGGGAACGCGUGGAGUUGGAGAAGCUGCGUCAGCUGCGUCUGCAGGAGGAGCUGGAGAGAGAGCGCAUGGAGCUGCAGCGGCACCGUGAGAAAGAGCAGAUGCUGGUGCACAGGGAGAUCCAGGAGCUGCAGACCAUCAAGGAGCAGGUCCUGCAGCAGCAGCAAGCUGAGAGGGAGAACCAGCUGGUGAUGCAGAAGGAGCAGUUGGCCCAGCAGAAAGCCCAGCUUGACCAGAUCCAGUCGCUGCAGCAGCAGCUCCAGCAGCAGCUCGAGGAGCAGAAGCGACAAAAGACUGCUGCAGCUGCUGCUGCAGCCACCGCAGCCGCUCAGUUGGACCAGAGCGGCCAGAUGCUGCAGCCCUACAGAAACCAAAUGGGCUUCAGGUCCCUGCCCAACUCCUCCUCAGACAUGUGUCUAAGGAACAACGAGGAGCAGAUGGAGACCAGGACCAACAUGAGAAAGCAGAACUCCACCUCCAUGCCCCGACUGAGGGAUGGAAUGGAGGGCGAGAGCGUUGAGUUCUACGGAGCCCGGAGGAUCGUGGACAGUUGCGUUCAAACAGACGAAGAGGACGGUGAGGAGAGGUACAUAAUGUCUAGACGCAGACGCAACAGGCGCAGUGUGGACCGCAGCGUCCAGACCGACGACGAUGAGGAGAAAGUGGAGUGGGAGCAGCCUGUGAGACGCAGACGCUCACGCUUCUCCAGGCACUCGGAUCCCGGGGCCGACCACAAGACUGACACAGCCUCCAAGACGGCCACCUCAUCCAGCAUCGCCAUUCAGACCAUUCGAGACUGCUCCUGCCAGACCGAAACAGACCAGCUGGGGAAGGUGUCCCCGGCCAUCCACGUCACUGUCCCAGACCCGAACAAAGUGGAGAUCGUCCACUACAUCUCAGGCCCUGAAAGGACCCAGAAGGGUCAAAGCCUAGCCUGCCAAACAGAUGUGGAGGCCCAGUCUCAGGGCGUGGUGGUGCCACAGCUCAGCGUGCCCACCACCAUCAGCCCCUACUCCACAGGUAUCCAGCUGGUUGGCUCCGCCGACCCGCGGCAGCAGCAGAACAGGAGGAGGUCUGACCCCAUGGAGAUCAGCUACCAGACCCAGACCCAGACCCAGCCCAUGAACCACCUCCACAACGAGUCCCUUUCCAGCCUGAUCCGUCAGCCCCCCAAGUCCCCCCAGGUGCUCUACUCCCCUGUGUCCCCCGUCUCCCCCCACCGCUUGCUGGAGACCUCCCUUUCCAGCGGCGGGCUGAACAAGGCCCAUGUCACUCCCCAGCAGAAGGCCUACACAGCCGAGUCACCCCAGCGCCACCCCAGCAUGCCCCGCCCUAUUAAGAACACACAGAGGUCCAUGUCUGACCCCAAGUUGCUGAGCCCCACCACUGACGAGCACACUAAGGCCAGGCUAAACCUGUACCAGCAGCAAGCUCUUCAGAGCCAGCUUGCUGCCCUGCAGCAGAGCGCUCUGAGGAAGGUGAAGAGGACCCUGCCCAGCCCCCCUCCAGAGGAGAGCCACCUCCCCAUCAUCACCCCGGCCGUCCCUCAAAUGUACAUGCCCGCUGUGCACUCCCUGAGGGCCGGGACCAGGCCAGGUCUGGCAGCCAAAGCCAGCCUGCUGAAGGACCUCACCCACGAGCUGAAGGCCGUGGAGCAGGAGUCCACCAAGCUCCGCAAGCAGCAGCAGGAGCUGGAGGAGGAGGAGAAGGAGAUUGAUGCCAAGCUGCGCUACCUGGAGCUGGGCAUUCAUCAGCGCAAGGAAACCCUGGUGAAGGAGAGGGAGAGGAGGGAUCUGGCCUACCUGCGCUGCAUGGGCGACCCGCGAGACUACAUGUCAGACAGCGAGCUGAAUAACCUGCGGCUGGCGGCGGCGGUAGCUUCCUACGAGAGCAACGGGGUGCUGACCAGACCGAGCACAGCACCACUGAGCCAGUACACCAGCGACCUCAACACAGCCGCCCAGUUCCCUCCCAUCUCCUCCUUCGUCUCCUACCAGUCAUACCACCCCCAGAGCCAGCCAGCUCCAGCACCCCAGCCUGGCACCCCUUAUCAGACCGCAGCCUUCAACCAGCCCCCCUACCCUUCAGUGUCCCAGGCAGCAGCUCUUCCCCAGCCCACCCCCCUGCAGACCCAACAUCUUCCCCCAACCUACCAGACCCAGGGGUCCUUCCCCUCCCACACAUACCCCCAGAGCCAGCCCCCCUACCCGACAGAGCAGGGGGUGCAGCCACUGCUCCAGCAACAGCAACAGCUAAGCCACCAGGGGUUCCAGCCUGCCCAGCCUGGCCAACCUCCCUACCCCACCCACACCUCUCCAUACCCCAGCCAGGUGUCCUACCCAGCUGGCCCAAGCCAGACCACUCCCUACCAGCCCCAGGCAGACAUCCUCACUGUUCAUCAGAGACCCAGACAGACCUCUCUGACUGACCUGGAACACAAGAUGCCCACUAACUAUGAGGUCAUAAGCAACCCCACUGUAGUGGUGACCACCACAGCCCAAGAUGCCAUCUACUCCUCCUCCAGUGGGGCUCCCCCAUACGGACAGUAUACUGGUGGUACCACUAUGGCCAACACUUAUGGGCCAUACUCUUCUACAGUCUCUAGUACAUAUGGCCAGUACACCACGACAGUUGCCAACACAUAUGGGCAGCAGUACACUUCCACCCUGGCCAGUACGUACGGCCAGUAUACCACUACCACAGCUAACACCUACGGCUACACCACCACUACAGCCAACUCCUACGGCCAGUACACCACCACCACCAACAGCUACGGCCACGGCACUCCAUCUGACCGUCUGCACUCGGUUGACAGCCCGUCCACCUACGCACAGGGCGGUCUCUACGGCCCAGCCAGCCUGGAGCAGAACAUCCCAAGGAACUACGUCAUGUGCGACGACAUCAGUGAGUUGACAAAGGACAGCCUGGGCGGCAUGGCGGCGGACAUGCAUCGAAGCGACGGUCAUGGUGGACGCUACAUGGGGGAGAGCGGCCCGGCGAGAGGAGGGAGUUCCUACGGCAGGCCGGAGGACGAGCUGACCAGGGAGGAAGACCUGUACGACCACCAUGGCAGGGGUAAGAGCAGCUACCACCCACGAGGGUCAGACACAUAUGGCCGAGUAGUGGGCAGCAGCAGCACUAGCAUGGGUGGGGGAUCCUCCUAUUACUAUGAUGACUACACCAAACACGGCGCACUACGCACCGGGGUCCAGAAGCAAGCCUCCAAGAGCCUGGCUCCGGCUGUCAUGUCCUCCAAGCGCAGCAAGCACCGCAAGCAAGGCAUGGAGCAGAAGAUCUCCAAGUUCUCCCCCAUCGAGGAAGCACGUGACGUGGAGGCUGACCUGGCCUCCUAUACCAUGAGCACGUCUGGCGGUGGCAACUGCACCGUAGUGUCCCGGGCCAGGAAGCUGCAGGACGACAUGGCCUACGGCCUGAGAAAGAGUGCCUAUGAGCAGAAGAGAUACUCCUAUCCCGAGGAGGACGAGCGCAUGUACUACACCUCGGGCCGUUCACGCUCCACAGGCUAUGGCAUGGACAAGAUCUCGUCCCGGGACUAUGCCGGCUACCGCAGCCGCUCCUAUGAGAGAGAUGGGGACAGGGAUCGCUCGUCGUACAGGGUGGGAUACAGCCGGGGCAGACCCCCCAUGCGCUCCCAGUAUUCGGAGGAGGAGAGCCUGCUGAGCUCCAUGGGUGUUCAUGUGCGGGCCUCCUCCCUGGGCCCAGAGCUGUACGACAGCCGUAGUAAUCAGUAUUAUGGCCAGUACGGCUCCAGCCACUCCCUGCCUGAUGUGCAGGACCACAUGAGAGACUUGCCCCGGACUCACGUCUACAAACCAGACGAUUCUUACAUUAUAGACGAUAUGCAUUGCGCUGUUUCGGACAGCGAAGUCUGCAUGCCUCUGUCGCCGUCGGACUUGGAGAUUGACUGUGAUCUGCUCUUGGUUUCCAAAGCCUACAAUCUUGGCCAAGAGGAGACAGACUGGUUUGAGAAGCCCAGGGACCUGCGCUCCGGCUCCCGUCACUACGGCAGUGGAGGCCACUCCUCGUCCGGCCGCAGCCGCCACGUCAAGCACACCUACCACGACUACGAGGAGCCCACAGAGGAGGACCUGUGGCCCCAGGACGAGUAUGGCCAAGCCCGUCACUCCUCCUCCUCGCGGGACCACCGCCCCCACGGCAGCGGCAGCUCCGGGAGACACUCCUCUACGUCCCGCCACUCGGACGAGCCCCGCUCCUCUCGCUUCUCCAAGGGCCAUCCCAAAGACCCGUCCAUGCGCCACGACUCCCGCCAGUUGUCCUCGUCGGGAAAGAGGGGCGACUCCCGCUCCCAGGGGGGGUAUCACUCGUCGGACUACUCCAGGGACCCGUCGGGCCACCACCACAGCCAGGGCCGCUCCACCAAGUCCUCGUCCUCUCACGAUGGGCGGACUUCCUCCAGGAAGCAGCAGGACCUCCAGGGCCACACUUCCUCUACCUCCAGGGGCCAGGGCAGCUCUGGACGUGGGCAGGGCUCCACCAGUGGGCCUCCAUGCUCCAGGGGACAGGGUCCUACCUCCCAGCAGGACGGGCUGCAGCCAGGCCAACGCACCCAGCUGCAGCAGCAGCCCCAGACCUCGGCGGCACGGCAGACAGGCACCAUCCCUGCAGGCACCACUCCUGGGGGCCAGCAGCCUCUGGGCCCGGGCCAAGCCCAGCAGGGUCUACAGGCGAAGCCUGGUCAGCUUGGUCCUGGUCAGGCCAGUCGCCAGCCACAGGCAGGAGGCGCACUGGGGCAACUGCCACCAACUGUGGCACCUGUCGCAAACACACCCCCUGUGACUGCCAUAGGGGCCAAAGCUGUCAUAGGAGGGGCGGCCCAGCCUGCAAAAACACCUCAACCCCCACUCACAGGAAUAGGCUCCAAGGCCGCCCCUAGACCCGGUGGCAUUGGGAGCGCGGCAGCGGGUCAACCUGGGAUGGAGGGGGAGAGUCUCCUCUCCAAGGUCCUACCAGGAAACCCUGCGGAGGCAGCAGGAAAACUAGGAGAAGCUAUCUCCGGUUUCGGCAAGAAGUUCACCUCGUUGUGGUGAGGUGUUGAGAUGAGGGUGUCUGUAAAUGUUAUGGAGGAUGUCGUGAGGCUUCGUACCAGAAAAACCUAGGAAGACCCCCGCUUUGUUUUACUGUGAGAGAGAGAGAGAGAGAGAGAGAGAGAGAGAGAGAGAGAGAGAGAGAGAGAGAGAGAGAGAGAGAGAGAGAGAGAGAGAGAGAGAGAGAGAGAGAGAGAGAGAGAGAGAGAGAGAGAGAGAGAGAGGGGGAGGGAGAAAUACAGCGACCAAGAGAAGAUAUCUGAGCGCACUGCCAAUGAGGACAGGAAUCAAUGGAUGCUGCAUGUACCAGGUCUAUGCACACAAUGGGAGAGAAACUAUGCUGAUUUCUCUGGCCGGCCAGACAAAUGGUUUGAGGCCCCCAGACUGCAAUCCCCCCAGCCAAAGAACAAGGACACUGACACCUGAGCCCCCCUGAACACCUAAGCCAUCACAAGCCCUGAGGAUCCCUCCAGAGAGAGGCUAGCUGGAUAGAGAGCCUGAUCCCUGCCACUAUCUGGGUCUUCACCACCAGGAUGUCUCCUCAAGAACCAUCACCUCCCAAACAGCCAUUAUCCUUUGGGGAAUGGGCUCUAUACUAAGGAAUACUCCACACAGCUGCUCUAUAGGAGCAUGGAAAGGGGCCGUAGUACUGUGACCCCGCAACACGCUAAUGAUGCUAUCCUCUAGUCUGUGGGCUGUUGUGCUGCUGCCUGCUGGGGUUCGUAACAGACAUGGCCGUGGUGGCAUGGUAGGAUCCUUGAUUCCGUAAGCCUGUGCUCAGAUUAAAAAACACACAGACACACUCUCCUCUCAUCUCUGAAAAAGAAAAGAGAAGAACAGGUUUUUCUGGUACUAAAGACCUCCUGUUUAAUUUGGAUGCUGAUCAUUUAGGAAAGAAGAAGAAAAGACAAUAAGGAUGACUAGGUUGACAGAAGCUAGGAGGAAGUGUCCACAGUUUGCUCAGUUUUUUUCUCUACAUUCCAGAAUGGAAAAAGGCCCCGUUUUUUUUUAUGCUGACUCGUUAGUUUCAUUUUUUUCCUCUCUUGCGAUGUGUCUAAGAAGUGUAUUGUGGAUUUAGGAUUCGGAAAUGCAUGGAACUUUAUAUCCAAGACCUUACACUGUUCACCAUUUCAGUUACAGAGGCCAUAAGACAUUGGUUAAUAAUAAUAAUAAUAAAAAAUGAUAGUAAAAAUGUAUCCAAAAGAAGACGAGGAGGACACAACACUGAAUCUGGCCACAGGAUGGGAGAAUCAUCAUUCGGAAGGUUUCGAUUGCACCAUGAGAGCCGAAUGUGGCCAGGUUUGUUUUUUAGCCAUUGUAAAGCCAUUAAUAAGAAAAAACAUCCCCAGAACGUUUGGGUUCCUGGUGUUUCUGAACCUUCCCACAACGUUUGGGUCUCUGGUGGUUGUUUUUUUUACGACUCAGUUUUUUUUUCUCGUUCUGUAUUUGCCUGAUUUUCUGUUACAGGAUAGUGGAUUCGCCUUAAUCCUUCCAUUCUUUUUUAUUUAGAGUAAAGUUACAUCUUAUUUUUUUACUCCAUGUUCUGUCCAUAAAGCUUAUUUUAAUUGCAGACUUUUUUAUGUAAUAAUGAUGUCCGCUGGAACCCUGGCUGUGAGAUUAAUUUAUAUUUUGGGAUUUUGUUUCACUUUUAAAUUUGUAAUCCUUUUAUAUUGUGUAUUUUCUCAUACAUUUUUGUGUUUAUGUUUGUCAUAAUCAUUAAUUACGUAAUUUAUGAUGGUUAUUAAUAAUGAAAAAGCAAUAGUAUGUGGAAGAAAGUCAGUAAAGAGCACAAUCUUGUGUCAUUUUACAAAUCUUUAGUCAGGAAUGUGUUGCCUCUGUGCGAUAUUCUGCUAUCACAACAGGGCCACACCUGGGUUGUAUUCAUUAGGCACCAAACAAAAUAAAAAACUGACAAACAGGGAGGGACUACCUGAAAUUGUCCAAUAAGAAAUGCUCGUUUUUGUUUUCUGUUGCAAAACGUAUUGCUACGGAGUCCUCUAAUAAAUACAACCUUGUAAAUCCAGUCUGGUAGUUUGGUACUGCCGAGUCAAGGCAUAUCAUAUCUGCCCAUUAUGAUACGUGAGCACUGCAAGACAGCAGAGAGGCACUGAAUACAAACCAGUGCAAAUCACCAUUGUAUCUGACUUGAAGUACUUUAGCAUUCUUUUGUUGACUGUCAUAAUCAUUGGGUUUUCAUGUUUUCUGGCUUACUACAGACUUUUAACAUCCAAAACACCAUUACAGGGGAAAGAGAAACACCUUACAGACAUGUAGUACAUAUUGGCUAUGUGUUUCAAACAGACUGAGGAUGUUAGACUGGAGAGACACCUACUCUGCACACACUCACAUAUGGCUGCGGGCAACAGUGAUGUAUGAGUUAUGUGCGAGGUAGCAAAAGGUGUUUGGUGGAUUAGACACUGAAGUGUCAGCACAGUUGGUUCAGUUUUUUGUCUUUGUUUUUGCGACCAAACUGCAAACCCCAAAAUGUUGACGAUUGUCACGGAAACCUCUCAGGUCAGUGUUCUUCCUGCUGUUCUUUGCAGUGCAGCGUGUGUAGUAGUGUUACUGGUGAUACACUCAGACGCUAAAGGCCCACUGAUGGGAGCCCAAACAUGAUGUAUAUUCUCUUUCUCUUUCUGUGGUUGCUGGAAUCAAGCAUGCUCUGGCAAAACCUCAGUAACAGUCACUUCUGUAUCGUUAGUUUCCUGAUGUUUGUAUGUGUGUGAGUACUGUAUGCGUGUGUUUCUCACCAUCCUACUAAAAAACAAACCAUUAUCUGGCAAAUAAAACAAGUGUGUGGUCGACGGCAACUUUUACAUUUCAAACGUUCUAUGCAAUGAAUCAUUUGGGGGAAAUAAAAGGGAAGAAACUGAAUACCACUAUCAUUGUCAUGGCUGAGACAAAUACUGCUUCCUUUUAGCAUUCCUACUACAAAAAUAGAUUUACUUGUUUGUAAAUAGCUACAAUAUGUGUACGUCAGGAAUUUGAUUCAACGUUUUUUUACAUUUCUUUUUAGUGGCAUGUUUCAGUCCCUUCACUGAAAAUUGGAACCGGUUGCCAACUGGUUAACUACAUAGGCACCCUAAAAUGGCACACUAUUCCAGUUAGAGUACUAUAGGCUGGCUAUAGGGAAUAAGGUGCCAUUUUCAAUGCAGAAUAGUGUCAAUAAAGUCUGCCAUCUUAUUGCUUCAAGCAUGGGUUGCUGGGUACAGCGAAUGGUCUUGUACGUACAGUGCUGAAGACCCCAUUUUUGUUGGACGGCCAUGGAUUUCAAUAUUUGGCUGCUAGUUUGUGCACUUGUUAUUCCAUAGAAUAGACUGAAGCUGCUAAAGACUUAAGCCAAUUAUAUGAAGAGAUUAAAUAUAUAAAUUAUAUAAAUAUGUAAAACAAAUACUUUAUGAUAAAUAUAUAUAACACAUAUUUGAGAAAUGACAGGCACUUUUCAUGAUCGAAGGGAAUGACCUGGUGUGUGUACACUGCCACUACCUAUUAACAUACUAUGAUAUUCCAGAAGUUUGAACGUUGAUGGGAGGCUGCUGGCACGACAGAGCUUGUUUCCUUUCAGUGAGCCCACCGAAAACCAUUGUAGGCUAUACCCACUCACCAUUAAUUUGGCUUGAAAGGCUUUAGUGUGAAAAUCCCUUAACCCACAACUCACUCGGUACAGUAACUGAUGUUUCAAGUAUGGGUGAUUAUUUCAAUGUAAAGAAGUGGAGUUAUUUUUAUAGCAUCCUUUAAUGGAAUAUCUAUACACAAAUAUUAUUGUAUCAUACAGAUAGUCAUUGGUACACUGGCGAAAUCCCUAUGAAGUUCAUGGAAUAGAAUGAUGAUCAUAUCAAUAUUGUCCUACUGUUACAAAGGCCUCCUUACAGUAGAUAAGACUGGCAUGGAAAGCACUUCACAGGCGUUUAGAACAAACUAGUGACAGAUAAAGUCACUGUCAGUGAAUGGAUGAUCAGAUAUGUAAAUGAGAUAGAGAUAAUAAUGACGUUGUAAAAAAAGAAGAGAACCAAUACUGAUCAAAAUCCAAUUAUGACUUGUUUAUGUUCCAAAUAGUUUGUAACUGUGUUCAAUCACUUUGCCUCAGGAAAGCACACACAAAAUGCACCGUGGUGAAAUGAAAUGGGACGUUAAUAUGCAUAGUAGUAAGGGCUUAUUAUUACAAUACUGGUCAAUCAAGAAAGCCAUCUUAUUACUGUCCCAUCCAGUCCUAAAUCUACUCUGGAUUACAUGGGUUUUGGACCACUGCAUUUUGCCAGGGACAAAUAAAACACACGUCUUUUUUUUUACGUCAACCAAAAAUUGUGCUUUUAAAGUAGCAUAGCAACUGCGACUAUCUGCCCUUGCUGUGGGUCAUUGUGGAUGGCUAUGCACAGUGAACAACAACAGGACAUUACUAUGGAUGAACAGAAUAGGGUGACAGACAAGGGAAUGCCGGAAAAAAAGCUACAAAAAAUAUUUUUCCACCAUCAGGGAGCAGUCAUCUUUCACCUUAGUGAAAAGUAACAAGUGCAUGAGCUAAUGCAGCAUAAAGCCUCUCCUUACAUCUGACAGGCAGGCAGACAUAUUCACUGUAAAUACCAGUCAGGGUCAUAGACUGCUCUGUACAACAUGUAAAUGUCAUACUAAACACUAUCACAGGCAUUGAAAGCCACGCAGGCUGACCUUGCCAAACUUGUGCUUUUGUGAAUAAAAAUGACAAAAAAGCAUUGUGUAUGUGGCUGGCUUGUGCAGACUGUUGAAUUAAAAACAAAAGUUGUAUUCUGAAA
This is an RNA transcript of Salvelinus fontinalis (brook trout), 18054 nucleotides long. It is a transcript of the gene named protein bassoon-like, with no coding region annotated. The record is from RefSeq and is a predicted model, not a curated record. The transcript is spliced from 13 exons. NCBI's taxonomy places the organism in Eukaryota, Metazoa, Chordata, Actinopteri, Salmoniformes, Salmonidae.